Molecule: ribosomal RNA, 502 nt
Filed under: uncultured bacterium
Lineage: Bacteria
Description: partial 16S ribosomal RNA
Rfam family: Bacterial small subunit ribosomal RNA
Source: RNAcentral
AGCGAACGCUGGCGGCGUGCCUAACACAUGCAAGUCGAACGUGAAAGGGAGCAAUCCCAAGUAAAGUGGCGUACGGGUGAGUAACACGUAGGUAAUCUACCCCAGAAUCUGGAAUAACCGGCCGAAAGGCUGGCUAAUACUGGAUAGAGCGACGGAAUCCGUAAUUGGGUUUUUCGGGAAAGGGAGCCUGUAAAAAGGCCUUCGUUCUGGGAUGAGCCUGCGUCCCAUCAGCUAGUUGGUGAGGUAAAAGCUUACCAAGGCAAUGACGGGUAGCUGGUCUGAGAGGACGAGCAGCCACACUGGCACUGAAACCCGGUCCAGACUCCCUCGGGAGGCAGCAGUGGGGCAUCUUGCGCAAUGGGCGAAAGUCUGUCGCAGCAACGCCGCGUGCGUGAAGAAGGCCUUCGGGUUGUAAAGCUCUGUCGAGUGGGACGAAAAUGCUUGGAGUUCACAGCUCCAGGAACUGACGGUACCACUAAAGGAAGCACCGGCUAACUCCGUG